AACAGCGUGUGUUUCAAGGAGAGAUGGCAGGGUUUAACGAUGAAGAGACGGAGCUUGAUCCUCCUCUGCUAAAUGUCACAGUGUUCUCCCGCCUGAAUGCAGAACAGAGGAGGGAAGGGAACAAAAAGAUGGUCUCCUACUGGUUUGCCGACUUCUGAAGGAAUUUCACACUUCCUUCAUGAUUUGAGCUAGAGCUGGCUACACUGGCAACCUUAAUCUCACUUGCUGGCAUCUUCACAUAAAACCGGUACAUAUUUGGAAUGGAGGAGGAGAUUAGAAUUGCCUGGAAACAUCAGGGAGCAAGGCGGAGGUGGCAGCCUUCACAUUAAAUCUACUCACCCAUUCUGAAAGCUGACUUCUAGCUCCUCCUGUGACUCUACCAACUUGCUGUCUGCAGCAUGAGCAAGAGAGAAAAAGAAUGCUGCCACAUCUUUCAAGUGUACACUAUCCUGACUAUGCCUGCUCCCCACUCACCUGCUUAGCAAGAAAGAGGGUAGAAAUGAAUAUAGGGCAUCCUGAGACCCCACAUCAACUAGAUGUUUGAGAAGGAGACACUAUGGAUGAAUAGGUCAAGGCUACAGGUCUUGGUGUGAGAGGAUGCUGGAGUCUAAGGUAGCUAUGUAACAGGUGGCCACCAGAAAUGUGGAAACAAUUCAUCAUGCAUGGUGGCUCAGCCUGAGCUGAUAAACCCAAAUGCUUUAUCUUGCCCUAAAGCAAGAGUGAAUGUCCAACGAUCAGCACCCUGGCUUGCCUGGGAGACAGAGUAAUCCACUUGUGAAUAUUCUCUUGCUACAUCUGGGGGAAAACAAAUUGAGAGGUAGUUUAGGGCUAGCUGUGUCCGCCCCCCACCCAAGUGUCCUCUUCUGAUAUGCCUGAUCCAGCAGGGCUGUUCUUAUUUGGGCCCAGUGCAUGCUUUGUGCCAGUGUGUGGAACAGGAUGCUGGACUAGAUAGGCCUUGGACCUGAACCAGCAGGGCUUUUCUUAUGUUAUUAUGUUUGUUUCCAUGUUUGGAAGCAUUAGUAAAAGCCAAGAAAACUCCCCCGGCUAGCCCUGAUCCUGGUGGUCCUUCUGGUAUUCCUGCUUGGCUGCACAGGCUGACUAAAGCUGCAAAAUGGGCCAAGCUAAUCCAGUCUGUGUCUGAUUGCUUGGCCAGGUUGGAAGAUAAUGGUGCUGCGCCUGUAUCAGCACCUGUGGAUUUCACACAGUAUGACAGUCUUCAAGUCCCUGCGCCAGCGCCAGUCCCUAAGGGAGGAACACUUUUAGUUACUGGAGCAGGUGAGAUACCAGAUGGGGUCCCAGUAUGGGUUUUGCCCACAGUCCUUCUCAAGUGUGCCCAUCGCCAGCAGGGGGCCUUUGAUGGACUAUACUGCUGGCCUGCUGGGGUCUUGGGACAGCAAUUUGCUCUGGGAGGGGCAUGCAAUCAGGUGUGGCAAGGCUUUACCUUGCCUAGCCAGGUUGCUUGGCCUAACACAGUGUCCAGCAGUGCUGCUAGUUUAUACAGCAUCUAGAAAUUAUCCUUGGCGGGGCGUUCUUUGCCCCUGGGCAAUCACCUUCUCCAUGUAGGGGUGAGUAUGUUGGUGUUUUCCUGCUUCUCUUUAGGGAACCUGAGCCGGUACCCAAAGAGCGUGAACAGGCGAGGAACAAGGAGAACAGCGAGUGAAAACGUACUGAACACAAUUGGGCCAAUUGGAUGUCUGCGUUCACCAUCUAUAUGGGGGUGGUUAUGCAGGUGCAGCCUGCUCGGGGUUCAGCCCUAGUGAAGUAUUUUGAAUUGAUAUAAUUCACUGGAGAUCCAGGGGAAAUCCGGGAAAUUACAGGCCAGAUAGCUUAACUUGGGUGCCGGGUAAAUUGAUGGAAAGCAUACUUAAGGACACAAUUGUUAAACACAGAGAAGAACAGGCCAUGCUGAAGGACAAUCAGCAUGGCUUCUGCAAGGGCAAGUCUUGCCUCACUAAUAGGAAUGUGCACAGACCGGUUCGGAGGCCAUUCUAAAGGCCUCCAGACCGGUCCAGUCACUGGGUGGUUUUGGUUCGGGUGGGGAGUUUGGGGGCUUCCAUUAAGGGCGGGGGGGGGCUUUACUUACCCCUCCCGCGCUUUCCACACACUGCCGCCGUAAUUAUUGAAGAAAUUGCUCCUCCGAUGGCUGUUCCUAUUUUAAAAAAUGGCUGCCCCCUUGAAGCCCUGGCCCCCUGCUGCUGCCUUGAAGCGCCCUCCCACCCCCUUAAAUCUCGCCCCGGGCCCUUAAAUCAUGCCCCGAUAACAUUAAGAGACGGGCGGCGGGGAGAUGUCCUCCCGCCCCCUUCCCUGCUAGGCUGCAAAAGACUUUAGGAAGGCUUCUGCGCGCGCACGAACCAGCGGGACAGGUUCAUGUAUGGAUCAGUAACUGGAUG
Long non-coding RNA from Hemicordylus capensis (graceful crag lizard), 2390 nucleotides. RefSeq lists it as uncharacterized. The record is from RefSeq and is a predicted model, not a curated record. NCBI's taxonomy places the organism in Eukaryota, Metazoa, Chordata, Lepidosauria, Squamata, Cordylidae. The transcript has 3 exons.